UACGUAGGUGGCAAGCGUUGUCCGGAUUUACUGGGCGUAAAGGGCGUGCAGGCGGUCUGUUAAGUCUAGGGUGAAAGCUCCCGGCUCAACUGGGAGAGGUCCUUGGAUACUGGCGGACUUGAGGGAGGCAGAGGAAAGUGGAAUUCCCGGUGUAGUGGUGAUAUGCGUAGAGAUCGGGAGGAACAUCUGUGGCGAAGGCGACUACCUGGACCAGCACUGACACUGAGGCACGAAAGCGUGGGGAGCAAACAGG
RNAcentral lists this ribosomal RNA (253 nucleotides) under uncultured bacterium. RNAcentral describes it as "partial 16S ribosomal RNA". It matches the Rfam family "Bacterial small subunit ribosomal RNA", at positions 524 to 776 of the family's 1533-position model. The record is from RNAcentral.